GACGAACGCUGGCGGCGUGCUUAACACAUGCAAGUCGAACGGGUCUGCCCUGUUUUUUGCGGGGUGGGUCAGUGGCGAACGGGUGAGUAACACGUGAGUAACCUGCCCCUCACUUCUGGAUAACCGCUUGAAAGGGUGGCUAAUACGGGGUGUUCUGGCUGUGCCGCAUGGUGUGGCUGGGAAAGAUUCACUUUUGUGGUGUUUUGGUGGGGGAUGGGCUCGCGGCCUAUCAGCUUGUUGGUGGGGUGAUGGCCUGCCAAGGCUUUGACGGGUAGCCGGCCUGGGAGGGUGGGCGGUCACACUGGGACUGAGAUACGGCCCAGACUCCUGCGGGAGGCAGCAGUGGGGGGUAUUGCACAAUGGGCGGAAGCCUGAUGCAGCGACGUCGCGUGAGGGAUGGAGGCCUUCGGGUUGUGAACCUCUUUCGCCGGUGAAGAAGGUCCUGCUCUUUGUGGUGGGGUUGACGGUAGCCGGGUUAUGAAGCGCCGGCUAACCACGUG
RNAcentral lists this ribosomal RNA (500 nucleotides) under uncultured bacterium. RNAcentral describes it as "partial 16S ribosomal RNA". It matches the Rfam family "Bacterial small subunit ribosomal RNA", at positions 28 to 507 of the family's 1533-position model. The record is from RNAcentral.